CCUACGGGUGGCAGCAGUGGGGAAUAUUGCGCAAUGGGCGAAAGCCUGACGCAGCGACGCCGCGUGAGGGAUGAAGGUCCUCGGAUCGUUAACCUCUGUCAGCAGGGAAGAACGGUCACUGUGCUAAUCAGCAGUGAAUUGACGGUACCUGCAAAGGAAGCACCGGCUAACUCCGUGCCAGCAGCCGCGGGAAUACGGAGGGUGCGAGCGUUAAUCGGAAUUACUGGGCGUAAAGCGCUCGUAGGCGGUAUGUCAAGUCAAGGGUGAAAUCCCCGCGCUCAACGUGGGAACUGCCUUUGAAACUGGCAAACUGGAGUGUGUGAGAGGAUAGUGGAAUUCCAGGUGUAGGAGUGAAAUCCGUAGAUAUCUGGAGGAACAUCAGUGGCGAAGGCGACUAUCUGGCACAUAACUGACGCUGAGGAGCGAAAGCGUGGGUAGCAAACAGGAUUAGAUACCCUUGUAGUU
This 465-nucleotide ribosomal RNA is filed under the name uncultured bacterium. Its description in RNAcentral is "partial 16S ribosomal RNA". It matches the Rfam family "Bacterial small subunit ribosomal RNA", at positions 338 to 795 of the family's 1533-position model. The record is from RNAcentral.